GUAUAAAAAUAACUUAAAAUAAGUAUAAUUUGGGAAAUUUUCAAACUAGUGGGUUUAAUAUAGCUUGUUGGAAUUAGGGAAACUACCGUGUUUAAUAAUUAACUUAACUUAUGGGUUUAAAUUAGGAAAACUACUAUAUUUAAAUAUUUAAUGAUUAACUUUACUUGUGGAUUUUAAUUAGGAAAACUAGUAUAUUUAAUAAUUAAUAUAGCUUGUUAGACUUUUGAAAGUUUAAGCUUGUGGGUUUUUUAUUUUUUAAAUAAUUUAGGCCCGAUCUUUUAUUUUUUUUGACAAUAACAUGCGCCACCCCCCCACAUUUUGGCCGCAUUAUGUGACACAGUGUUCUAGUUCGUAGUUAGUACUCACUGCUCAGAAUCUUCAAUUCUUCUCCUCUAUUCUUCAUGGGCCUAAUUGAACUGAAGAAUAAAAUCUCCUGAAUAUUCCUAUUAUAAGAAAUCACCGAGAGCUGAAGAUGAAAUCACUUCUGAGGAGUGAGGAGUAGGUUGAAUACAAUACAAUAAGAUUUAUUAAUGAACUUGUAGAUAUUUUGGUUGAAGAGAACAUGUCUGUUUUUAUCUCCUUUAUUUAUAAACGGAGAAAGUAGAAAGAUCCAUUGUGACAGAUUGUGAUUCGAUGUGGGGAAUCCUCGUUGUCACUGUUUUUAUACAUGAAUUUUGUGAAAUUCUUGUCUUUAAAUUGUAAUAUCCAAUUUAAAUAUCUAAUUUAAAUAUCCAAUUUUUAUCUAACAGUAGUUGAAACAGCAAACAUGAAUGAUGUUGAGUCCAAGCUUUUUCAUGCGACGCCUAGGCGACCAUGCGUUGGAGCGGGUUAGGCGGGUCCGGGUCGGAUCUGACCCGAACCCGCCUAACCCAAUAGGUCUGUUUUAUUUUAAUUUUUUUUAAAAUUUAAAUAUAAGGCCCAACCACCCAUUUAAGGCCCAUUUAAAUGAUUUAAGUCAUUUAAAUAAGAGGUUGAGGGUUUUAAAAAACCCUAACCUCUUUUCUUUCUUGUUUCUUGCACCUUUCUAACCUUAAAUUCAUAGAAGUCUUAUAAUCUAUGUAUUUACAUUUUAGAUUAAUAGGUCUAUUACUUUGUAUUAGUAAUUUCAGGUUUUAAAAUUUAUGUAUAUAUUUUUUUAAAUGUUUCUGAAUUUACCCAUAUUUUUUAGCAAAUAUAUAUAAGUUCAGGGUAAAUCUACCCUAUUUUCAGGCGACCGCCUAGGCGCCGCCUGAAGCGCCUAGGCGGCCAUGCGGUCAUGGCAAUCGCAUGACCGCAUGGUCGCCUAAAAAACCUUGGUUGAGUCGAAUCGAAAUUGAAUCUGGAAUUGAACUUGGGUUUACAAAUUAUAAUAGAAUUUGAAUCGAACGUUACAAGGAAAUACACAUUCUACUCUACUACAAUUAACAAAGAGAAGAGUUUGAAUUAAAAAUCGGAACGAAAUGAUUUGAACAGAAUGAUUACAAAAUGUCGAAAACUGGAAAUAUACCUGAAAAUUAGGAACAAGAACGACCUAUCUGUAGUGUUUGGAUAAAUGGGAUGGAGGGGUUCCCUUGAACCUCCAAGUAGUAGUAACAUAGAAAUGUAGGGUGUAAGCAGUAGAAGAGGUGUUGUAAGCCUAAAGGGGUUAGUCAUGUACUUUUGUGACAGGGUGACUAUCCACAGUUGAGGAUAGCUUACCUAUUUUUGAAAUAUAUUUACCAUAUUAUUUCAAAAAAAGAGAGGAACAAAAACGACGUUUGUCAGAGAUGCAAUCGUUAAACAACAAAUCCGAAGAACUAACAGAAUGAGAAACUUAUUGGAAAUGUGAAGUGAAAAUUGAUUGAGUUGUUGAUGACCGCCCGCUUUCCUUAUAGUUCUUCUCGACUUGAGCACCUGCAUUAACUAAUUUCUGAUCUGUACCUGAUUAGUGUUGGAUCCAGAAUAUCUGAUCAGUGUUCUCUUCACUUCUCACAAAUUUGCACUGUUUUUCAUGAGAUUUAGGGAUUGCUAAUGUGAUGAUGCAACAUCACACUGCUUUUGGUGCACAUACAGUUGUGCACUUGUGCCAACUGCAAAACCACAGAGUUUUGUUUAUGUAUAAAUUCAAACCAUUUUUAUUCUAUUGUAUUGUUUUAUCUACACAGUUCGAAAAUCCAAACUGGAUAAUGGUAAUUGAUCGAUAGAUCUUUGAAAUGGACAUUAAUUUAGAUGGGUCGUGUUCAUAAUCUGAUCGAUAUGAUUUGUGUUUAUUUACGGAUUCCCGUAAUUUCAGGAGAAGGGAUUUGUUGGAACAGGUGACAGUCAUGUAAAUUUCUCUCCACAAAACAAGUCAGAUGAAUUUGAUGAAAGAAAAUCCUCCAAACUGUGUAAUUUUCAACUUUUUGAAGACGAAAAAGAUGAAAAAGUUCCGCAACAAAAGUUUGAGGGGGAUGAUUAUAACAAAGAGACGUCAUUUAUUGUAAACGAUUCCAUCAGAAGGAUGAGCUCGUUGAGGAACGUCAAAGGAGGAUACUCGGAAGACAAACUCUCUAUUCACGGCUCGUGUAUUGCCGCGGCUAAUAUUUGUAGAUCGUUGGAAGAAAAUUGUAAUGAUAAAGGCGGAUGGAUAUCUACAAAAAAUACGAGAGACUUACCAGGAAACGAAAAAGAGUCGAGGAAAGAAACUUGUAGAACAAAAACACUGGACAUUGUUGAAUCGGAUCUGAAAAGAAGCAGCAGUUUAGGAAAAAGAGAUGCACAGAUAGAAGACCAUAAUAGUAAUGUCGCCCCUAGCAAAUGGUUUUGUCCUAGCAAGAAAAAAUUAAACUUGGGUCCUCCAAUGAAACAACUUCGGCUAGAGCGUUGGAUUAAGCGUGUGACUUAGAACGGUUAGAAAGAAGCAUUUGGCUGAGGCCUUGAGGAUUAAAUAAAGACGAUUAUGAAUUCUAGCUAGGCUGUUGUGUAAUAUUGAAUCGGAUCCACAACAACUUGGUCGGUUGACAAGUCGGCCAGGGUGUCGUCGGUUGGUAAAAUUUAACAAAUAUGAAUCUCGUAG
Molecule: long non-coding RNA, 3013 nt
Filed under: Zostera marina
Lineage: Eukaryota; Viridiplantae; Streptophyta; Magnoliopsida; Alismatales; Zosteraceae
Description: long non-coding RNA (ZMAR_LNC005962)
Source: RNAcentral